GAUUAAGUUAUUAAGGGCGCACGGUGGAUGCCUUGGCACUAGAAGCCGAUGAAGGACGUUACUAACGACGAUAUGCUUUGGGGAGCUGUAAGUAAGCUUUGAUCCAGAGAUUUCCGAAUGGGGAAACCCAGCAUGAGUUAUGUCAUGUUAUCGAUAUGUGAAUACAUAGCAUAUCAGAAGGCACACCCGGAGAACUGAAACAUCUUAGUACCCGGAGGAAGAGAAAGAAAAUUCGAUUCCCUUAGUAGCGGCGAGCGAAACGGGAAGAGCCCAAACCAACAAGCUUGCUUGUUGGGGUUGUAGGACACUCUAUACGGAGUUACAAAGGACGACAUUAGACGAAUCAUCUGGAAAGAUGAAUCAAAGAAGGUAAUAAUCCUGUAGUCGAAAAUGUUGUCUCUCUUGAGUGGAUCCUGAGUACGACGGAGCACGUGAAAUUCCGUCGGAAUCUGGGAGGACCAUCUCCUAAGGCUAAAUACUCUCUAGUGACCGAUAGUGAACCAGUACCGUGAGGGAAAGGUGAAAAGCACCCCGGAAGGGGAGUGAAAUAGAACCUGAAACCGUGUGCUUACAAGUAGUCAGAGCCCGUUAAUGGGUGAUGGCGUGCCUUUUGUAGAAUGAACCGGCGAGUUACGAUUUGAUGCAAGGUUAAGCAGUAAAUGUGGAGCCGUAGCGAAAGCGAGUCUGAAUAGGGCGUUUAGUAUUUGGUCGUAGACCCGAAACCAGGUGAUCUACCCUUGGUCAGGUUGAAGUUCAGGUAACACUGAAUGGAGGACCGAACCGACUUACGUUGAAAAGUGAGCGGAUGAACUGAGGGUAGCGGAGAAAUUCCAAUCGAACCUGGAGAUAGCUGGUUCUCUCCGAAAUAGCUUUAGGGCUAGCCUCAAGUGAUGAUUAUUGGAGGUAGAGCACUGUUUGGACGAGGGGCCCCUCUCGGGUUACCGAAUUCAGACAAACUCCGAAUGCCAAUUAAUUUAACUUGGGAGUCAGAACAUGGGUGAUAAGGUCCGUGUUCGAAAGGGAAACAGCCCAGACCACCAGCUAAGGUCCCAAAAUAUAUGUUAAGUGGAAAAGGAUGUGGCGUUGCCCAGACAACUAGGAUGUUGGCUUAGAAGCAGCCAUCAUUUAAAGAGUGCGUAAUAGCUCACUAGUCGAGUGACACUGCGCUGAAAAUGUACCGGGGCUAAACAUAUUACCGAAGCUGUGGAUUGUCCUUUGGACAAUGGUAGGAGAGCGUUCUAAGGGCGUUGAAGCAUGAUCGUAAGGACAUGUGGAGCGCUUAGAAGUGAGAAUGCCGGUGUGAGUAGCGAAAGACGGGUGAGAAUCCCGUCCACCGAUUGACUAAGGUUUCCAGAGGAAGGCUCGUCCGCUCUGGGUUAGUCGGGUCCUAAGCUGAGGCCGACAGGCGUAGGCGAUGGAUAACAGGUUGAUAUUCCUGUACCACCUAUAAUCGUUUUAAUCGAUGGGGGGACGCAGUAGGAUAGGCGAAGCGUGCGAUUGGAUUGCACGUCUAAGCAGUAAGGCUGAGUAUUAGGCAAAUCCGGUACUCGUUAAGGCUGAGCUGUGAUGGGGAGAAGACAUUGUGUCUUCGAGUCGUUGAUUUCACACUGCCGAGAAAAGCCUCUAGAUAGAAAAUAGGUGCCCGUACCGCAAACCGACACAGGUAGUCAAGAUGAGAAUUCUAAGGUGAGCGAGCGAACUCUCGUUAAGGAACUCGGCAAAAUGACCCCGUAACUUCGGGAGAAGGGGUGCUCUUUAGGGUUAACGCCCAGAAGAGCCGCAGUGAAUAGGCCCAAGCGACUGUUUAUCAAAAACACAGGUCUCUGCUAAACCGUAAGGUGAUGUAUAGGGGCUGACGCCUGCCCGGUGCUGGAAGGUUAAGAGGAGUGGUUAGCUUCUGCGAAGCUACGAAUCGAAGCCCCAGUAAACGGCGGCCGUAACUAUAACGGUCCUAAGGUAGCGAAAUUCCUUGUCGGGUAAGUUCCGACCCGCACGAAAGGCGUAACGAUUUGGGCACUGUCUCAACGAGAGACUCGGUGAAAUCAUAGUACCUGUGAAGAUGCAGGUUACCCGCGACAGGACGGAAAGACCCCGUGGAGCUUUACUGUAGCCUGAUAUUGAAAUUCGGCACAGCUUGUACAGGAUAGGUAGGAGCCUUUGAAACGUGAGCGCUAGCUUACGUGGAGGCGCUGGUGGGAUACUACCCUAGCUGUGUUGGCUUUCUAACCCGCACCACUUAUCGUGGUGGGAGACAGUGUCAGGCGGGCAGUUUGACUGGGGCGGUCGCCUCCUAAAAGGUAACGGAGGCGCUCAAAGGUUCCCUCAGAAUGGUUGGAAAUCAUUCAUAGAGUGUAAAGGCAUAAGGGAGCUUGACUGCGAGACCUACAAGUCGAGCAGGGUCGAAAGACGGACUUAGUGAUCCGGUGGUUCCGCAUGGAAGGGCCAUCGCUCAACGGAUAAAAGCUACCCCGGGGAUAACAGGCUUAUCUCCCCCAAGAGUUCACAUCGACGGGGAGGUUUGGCACCUCGAUGUCGGCUCAUCGCAUCCUGGGGCUGUAGUCGGUCCCAAGGGUUGGGCUGUUCGCCCAUUAAAGCGGUACGCGAGCUGGGUUCAGAACGUCGUGAGACAGUUCGGUCCCUAUCCGUCGUGGGCGUAGGAAAUUUGAGAGGAGCUGUCCUUAGUACGAGAGGACCGGGAUGGACAUACCUCUGGUGUACCAGUUGUCGUGCCAACGGCAUAGCUGGGUAGCUAUGUGUGGACGGGAUAAGUGCUGAAAGCAUCUAAGCAUGAAGCCCCCCUCAAGAUGAGAUUUCCCAACUUCGGUUAUAAGAUCCCUCAAAGAUGAUGAGGUUAAUAGGUUCGAGGUGGAAGCAUGGUGACAUGUGGAGCUGACGAAUACUAAUCGAUCGAAGACUUAAUCAA
Molecule: ribosomal RNA, 2923 nt
Filed under: Staphylococcus aureus
Lineage: Bacteria; Bacillati; Bacillota; Bacilli; Caryophanales; Staphylococcaceae
Description: 23S ribosomal RNA
Rfam family: Bacterial large subunit ribosomal RNA
Source: RNAcentral